Molecule: ribosomal RNA, 465 nt
Filed under: uncultured bacterium
Lineage: Bacteria
Description: partial 16S ribosomal RNA
Rfam family: Bacterial small subunit ribosomal RNA
Source: RNAcentral
GACGAACGCUGGCGGCGUGCUUAACACAUGCAAGUCGAACGGAAAGGCCCUGCUUGCAGGGUACUCGAGUGGCGAACGGGUGAGUAACACGUGGGUGAUCUGCCCUGCACUUCGGGAUAAGCCUGGGAAACUGGGUCUAAUACCGGAUAGGAGCCAUUUUUAGUGUGAUGGUUGGAAAGUUUUUUCGGUGUAGGAUGAGCUCGCGGCCUAUCAGCUUGUUGGUGGGGUAAUGGCCUACCAAGGCGGCUACGGGUAGCCGGCCUGAGAGGGUGGACGGCCACAUUGGGACUGAGAUACGGCCCAGACUCCUACGGGAGGCAGCAGUGGGGAAUAUUGCACAAUGGGCGCAAGCCUGAUGCAGCGACGCCGCGUGGGGGAUGACGGCCUUCGGGUUGUAAACUCCUUUCGCUAGGGACGAAGCUUUUUGUGACGGUACCUAGAUAAGAAGCACCGGCUAACUACGUG